UACGUAGGGUGCGAGCGUUAAUCGGAAUUACUGGGCGUAAAGCGUGCGCAGGCGGUUCGCCAAGUCAGGUGUGAAAUCCCUCGGCUUAACCGGGGAACUGCGUCUGAUACUGGUUGGCUUGAGUUUGGGAGAGGGAUGCGGAAUUCCAGGUGUAGCGGUGAAAUGCGUAGAUAUCGAGAGGAACACCUGCGGCGAAGGCGGGUAGCUGGGCCGACACUGACGCUGAU
RNAcentral lists this ribosomal RNA (227 nucleotides) under uncultured prokaryote. Its description in RNAcentral is "partial 16S ribosomal RNA". It matches the Rfam family "Bacterial small subunit ribosomal RNA", at positions 524 to 750 of the family's 1533-position model. The record is from RNAcentral.